Molecule: ribosomal RNA, 453 nt
Filed under: uncultured Clostridium sp.
Lineage: Bacteria; Bacillati; Bacillota; Clostridia; Eubacteriales; Clostridiaceae
Description: bacterial SSU rRNA
Rfam family: Bacterial small subunit ribosomal RNA
Source: RNAcentral
AGAGUUUGAUCCUGGCUCAGGCUGGCGGCGUGCCUAACACAUGCAAGUCGAGCGAUGAAGUUCCUUCGGGAAAUGGAUUAGCGGCGGACGGGUGAGUAACACGUGGGUAACCUGCCUUAUAGUGGGGGAUAGCCUUUCGAAAGGAAGAUUAAUACCGCAUAAGAUUGUAGUAUCGCAUGAUAUAGCAAUUAAAGGAGCAAUUCGCUAUAAGAUGGACCCGCGUCGCAUUAGCUAGUUGGUGAGGUAAUGGCUCACCAAGGCGACGAUGCGUAGCCGACCUGAGAGGGUGAUCGGCCACAUUGGGACUGAGACACGGCCCAGACUCCUACGGGAGGCAGCAGUGGGGAAUAUUGCACAAUGGGCGAAAGCCUGAUGCAGCAACGCCGCGUGAGUGAUGACGGCCUUCGGGUUGUAAAACUCUGUCUUCAGGGACGAUAAUGACGGUACCUGAGG